UGGGGAAUUUUGGACAAUGGGCGCAAGCCUGAUCCAGCAAUGCCGCGUGCAGGAUGAAGGCCUUCGGGUUGUAAACUGCUUUUGUACGGAGCGAAAAGGUCUGCCCUAAUACGGUGGGCUCAUGACGGUACCGUAAGAAUAAGCACCGGCUAACUACGUGCCAGCAGCCGCGGUAAUACGUAGGGUGCAAGCGUUAAUCGGAAUUACUGGGCGUAAAGCGUGCGCAGGCGGUUUUGUAAGUCUGAUGUGAAAUCCCCGGGCUCAACCUGGGAAUUGCAUUGGAGACUGCAAGGCUAGAAUCUGGCAGAGGGGGAUGGAAUUCCGCGUGUAGCAGUGGAAUGCGUAGAUAUGCGGAGGAACACCGAUGGCGAAGGCAAUCCCCUGGGCCUGUACUGACGCUCAUGCACGAAAGCGUGGGGAGCAAACA
Molecule: ribosomal RNA, 427 nt
Filed under: uncultured bacterium
Lineage: Bacteria
Description: bacterial SSU rRNA
Rfam family: Bacterial small subunit ribosomal RNA
Source: RNAcentral